GAUGAACGCUGGCGGCGUGCUUAACACAUGCAAGUCGAACGGAAAGGCCCAAGCUUGCUUGGGUACUCGAGUGGCGAACGGGUGAGUAACACGUGGGUGAUCUGCCCUGCACUUCGGGAUAAGCCUUGGAAACUGGGUCUAAUACCGGAUAGGACCACAUUUUGGAUGGUGUGGUGGAAAGUUUUUCGGUGUGGGAUGAGCUCGCGGCCUAUCAGCUUGUUGGUGGGGUAAUGGCCUACCAAGGCGUCGACGGGUAGCCGGCCUGAGAGGGUGUACGGCCACAUUGGGACUGAGAGACGGCCCAGACUCCUACGGGAGGCAGCAGUGGGGAAUAUUGCACAAUGGGCGCAAGCCUGAUGCAGCGACGCCGCGUGGGGGAUGACGGCCUUCGGGUUGUAAACUCCUUUCGCUAGGGACGAAGCGUUUUUGUGACGGUACCUGGAGAAGAAGCACCGGCUAACUACGU
This 466-nucleotide ribosomal RNA is filed under the name uncultured bacterium. RNAcentral's name for it is "partial 16S ribosomal RNA". It matches the Rfam family "Bacterial small subunit ribosomal RNA", at positions 28 to 506 of the family's 1533-position model. The record is from RNAcentral.